UGAGGGGUGGUCGAGUGGGUGAUGGCUCCGGUCUUGAAAACCGGCGAAGGGAAGCGGGAGCCUUCGCCGGCUUCGAAUCCCACCCCCUCCG
RNAcentral lists this transfer RNA (91 nucleotides) under Synechococcus sp. Ace-Pa. RNAcentral's name for it is "tRNA-Ser". It matches the Rfam family "tRNA". Rfam says of the family: Transfer RNA (tRNA) molecules are approximately 80 nucleotides in length. Their secondary structure includes four short double-helical elements and three loops (D, anti-codon, and T loops). The record is from RNAcentral. Lineage: Bacteria; Bacillati; Cyanobacteriota; Cyanophyceae; Synechococcales; Synechococcaceae.